This is a long non-coding RNA of Gavialis gangeticus (Gharial), 289 nucleotides long. RefSeq lists it as uncharacterized. The transcript has 3 exons. The record is from RefSeq and is a predicted model, not a curated record. NCBI's taxonomy places the organism in Eukaryota, Metazoa, Chordata, Crocodylia, Gavialidae.
ACCGAAUAAGAGGAACAGACGAGUGGAAUGGAGGAUAACAACAGUGACAACAGCAGCAGCAGUGGGUCCUCCAGUGGAAGCUGGAGUGACAAUGAUGAAGAGACCCUGUGAACUGAGUACCUGACCCCGGAAGCGGGGCACGGGUGGACAUGAAGGGAGGGCUGGUCAGAGAGACCAGAAAGAACUGAGUGUGUAUUUUGUGUGUUUUGCACGUGGUUGCAGACUUUGUAAUGGGUACGGGUGGCCAGCAGGCCUUUGUACGGGUGCGCGGGUGCACAGGAUGUGUGGG